This is a long non-coding RNA of Carcharodon carcharias (great white shark), 2520 nucleotides long. RefSeq lists it as uncharacterized. The transcript has 3 exons. NCBI's taxonomy places the organism in Eukaryota, Metazoa, Chordata, Chondrichthyes, Lamniformes, Lamnidae. The record is from RefSeq and is a predicted model, not a curated record.
GCUGAAGCCAGCCAGGCAGGCAGUAAGUACUAUGGACAAGGUACAGACAGCACUGAGGAUGGAGCUCAAUCCAAAGGGAUCCUACUCAUUGGGGCAGAAAGGGAGAGAGAGACAGGCACAAUGCAACAUCUGCCGACUGCUUUUAAACUACUAUUGGACAUCAAGAAUGAAUAUAUCCAGGAUUACUUAGAUUUGGACGUUUAUGCAUUUAUUUUUCGAAUUUAAAAGCUUUGGAGUUUCUAGAAUGAUUGGAUCUAAGGAAUUUUCACCAGCAUUGCUGGAUAUGUGGAUCCCUUCACCUUUUCGAGAUGCAUUAUUUUGACCUUUUUAAAAAUAUGUACACUGGAAUAUUCCCUGCACUGUUUUGGGGGACACAUUGAUCCGGCCUUUAGGAUUAUUGGAAUCACUGAGUCAGUACAGUUGAGCCACAAGAAAUAUUGGCUCUGUUGAUGGAAAAAUGCCUCACUCAUUAUUGGGAGACUUUCCUCGGAUUAUUGGAAUUGAACCGUUUUCAUUUGUGGAUGGGGAAUGUGUUGGGGGGGUGUGUGUUUUUGCUUCAAGGAAACGAAAAUGUCAUGGUCACGAUCAUGAAUCGUGGAGAUGUGCAGUGUGGCUACUAGCUGGAUUAAUGCAGAUGGCUCUAAGCGAGUUUUCUUUCUCCCCAACCAGCAAAAUAAACCCUGGAAUAUGUUACAAGCUUCUGGAAUGUUCUUGUCAUUUGGGUUAACAUCGCCACUGAGGAUAUUAUAUCCAGAUGAUGUAUUGAAAAGCCUGGGAUGUAUAGAGGAUACGAUGUGGAUUUAAUCUCACUAUGAUAGUGUGGAUUUUUACUACAUUUUGGUUUGGACUUAGUUAAGAGGUAUAUUGCUGCACGGCCACGAAUAAAGCAACAAAACACCCCAGAUGACAUGGUCAUUCCACGUACUACCACCCACUACCCGACGAUCAAAAGACUGCUCCUCCCUAACCUCAAUAUUGGAGCUUUAAGCUGUCAAAUGUGACAUCAUGAACAACAUCCGCUUAGUACUGAAGGCUGAAACUCAAUCUGCACUCCAACAAAUCCAAACAGGACACCAUGACAACGUCAAAAACCAACGCACCAUUUCAACACCUCUUCAUUUUGACCUCCAUCUGUGCAGUUUCACAAAUGCUUGAGCUUAAUUGAGCAUUGGACACCAUUUCCAAAAGAACUCAGAAAAUAAGCUGCAAGAAAACAAGGUUGCUGAGAAUAUGAGAGAAAAUGCCAGAUGGACAAAAGAUGCUUGAUGUAGAUCCAUCUCAGUGAGGGACCUUGUGGAUGGAUUUCCGCAGUUCAAAAUUUUACAGUUGUUUCAUGUAAUUCUUCCAAAGCUGAAGUAACAAGGUUUAACUUCUGUAUGAGUGUUAUCUAUUUGUGUCUGAAAUAUUUUGUUUUCAAAUAAAUGGGUAAUAUUUACGAACAUGACAAAGGCAUUGGAUUGUAAAUUCUUCAUGGUUGUGGAAGCCCAGUUUAGAACUUUGUACCAUUGAGAUCUUUUCAUUGUUCUUUAUAAUUUGGUGAACAUUAGGGUUGAGUGAAAAUUUUUUAAAAAGCUAUGUCCAAUCAAAUAAAGAGAACUAACUAGCUUUGUAUAUUUGUUUGUACUUUCUUAUGAAACAAAUGUUCAUGUAUGUAUGAAUUAUGUUGAACUUGUAAUUUUGUAUUGUAAAUUUGUAGAUAUAAUUUAUGAUUAGACUACUCUAUCUUCCUUUUAAAAUUACUAUUUAUUUGAAACUUUUGGGUUCCCUAAUUUAGACAUUUUUGAAAAUGACCAUUAGUAAAGAACUUCUAGUUGCUAUAGAAGGCUAUUUUCUGAUAAUAUUUGCAUCUGCGCAAAUCUUCAAUCAAAUUGCCUUGAAGCACUUUUAUAUAGAAUCACUUUGUGAAGUGCAGUGACAGAUGUUAUGUAAAGGACUCCUUCAAAUAGGUGAGUUCAUUUAAAUAGAAGUCUAGAUUCAGGAUGUACCUGGCAAUUAUUUGUUUAAUAUAUUAUGUCUAGGAUAUUCCAUAAAGGGAAAUUAAUAUUGGACAGCAUCUUAGUAAUAGGGUUUAACCACAUCAAAAGAAAGCUUCAUUUAGCAAUGUUGGCACAGUGCAAUGACUUGCCGUCAAUAAAUUUUAUUUGAAAUGGAGGGUAUGGGUAAAUAUGAUUUUGUAUCGAUAGUAGAUAAAGAUUUCAUCAUCUUUCUAUUCAUAUGUUCUUCCAUUUUAAAGAUGCCCCUGACAUAAUCAACCAAAUAAUAUAUAUAAAACAAAGUUUCAGUUACUAAAGAGAGCUAACUUUUUGAAAAAUAAAACAAUUAACAAUCACUGCAACAUUGAAUAGCUGCACCUACAUGUUUUGUUCAACUACAGAAGCAACUUGAUUGAUCUUCUAUUGAAAACAUGUAUGCCAAAAAAUAAUGUGCUGUAUACUUUUUAUUUUUAUUUCCUAUUUACAAUUUAUUUUAACAAUGUGAAAUACAUACAAAACUUUGCAUAAUAAAAAACAUUAUUGAGAA